RNAcentral lists this ribosomal RNA (217 nucleotides) under uncultured prokaryote. RNAcentral's name for it is "partial 16S ribosomal RNA". It matches the Rfam family "Bacterial small subunit ribosomal RNA", at positions 561 to 774 of the family's 1533-position model. The record is from RNAcentral.
CCCUAUGGGGUGCGCAGGCGGGUUUGUACGUCAGUGGUGAAAUCCCGGGGCUUACCUCCGGAACUGCCAUAGAAACUGCAAGCCUAGAGUACGGAAGAGGUUGAUGGAAUAUCUGGUGUAGCAGUGAAAUGCGUAGAUAUCAGAUAGAACACCAAUGGCGAAGGCAGUCAACUGGUCCGUUACUGAAGCUAAAGCACGAAAGUGUGGGGAGCGAACA